CCUACGGGUGGCAGCAGUGGGGAAUAUUGGACAAUGGGGGGAACCCUGAUCCAGCGACGCCGCGUGAGUGAAGAAGUAUUUCGGUAUGUAAAGCUCUAUCAGCAGGGAAGAAAGGAAUGACGGUACCUGACUAAGAAGCCCCGGCUAACUACGUGCCAGCAGCCGCGGUAAUACGUAGGGGGCAAGCGUUAUCCGGAUUUACUGGGUGUAAAGGGAGCGUAGACGGUUACGCAAGUCUGGAGUGAAAGGCGGGGGCCCAACCCCCGGACUGCUUUGGAAACUGUAUAACUGGAGUGCAGGAGAGGUAAGUGGAAUUCCUAGUGUAGCGGUGAAAUGCGUAGAUAUUAGGAGGAACACCAGUGGCGAAGGCGGCUUACUGGACUGUAACUGACGCUGAAGCACGAAAGCGUGGGUAUCGAACAGGAUUAGAUACCCCGGUAGUC
This 443-nucleotide ribosomal RNA is filed under the name uncultured bacterium. RNAcentral's name for it is "partial 16S ribosomal RNA". It matches the Rfam family "Bacterial small subunit ribosomal RNA", at positions 338 to 795 of the family's 1533-position model. The record is from RNAcentral.